Long non-coding RNA from Diorhabda sublineata, 2347 nucleotides. RefSeq lists it as uncharacterized. The transcript is spliced from 2 exons. Lineage: Eukaryota; Metazoa; Arthropoda; Insecta; Coleoptera; Chrysomelidae. The record is from RefSeq and is a predicted model, not a curated record.
UACCGAAAACUAAUUACUUCCCGAAUUGUAUUUAAAACUAAAUUGAAAAAUUUUCGAUCUAUAUGAAAAAGAAUCGAAGGUAUAAUUCAAUCAUAUAGUAGGUUAAACAUACGUGGACAGUCCGGUAAGUACUUAACGGAUCCGUUGUCGAUGCGAUGGUGCCGUGUUUACUCAAUCCGAAGAAGAAUAACGAAUGUGAAACCACAUUAGGGCAGUGUUUAAGCGAAAUCCGAAGGAGUUUGUUAGUUAAUGAGGUUAGGUCGACCUGGAUGCAGAUCUGAAACGCGUGCGCUCCUGAAAGUGAAAAUUGACCGUGAAAAGCUCCCAAACUGAAAAAAAUGUUAACGUGCAUUCGAUCAAUUUUUCCGAUUAAACAAUAAGUUUAAUGUGUCGAAUAUUGUAGCUCAAGAAAAUUUUGACUUUGGUAAGAAAAAACAUACAAAAAAUAUCUUACUCAAAAUAGUAUUUAUAUUAUAAAAAAUAAAGAAAAAAAUUGAGUAUAUUUCAACACCCCAAGAUUUAAUAUGUAAUAAAAUACAUUGUCACUUCUACAUUUAAAAAAACAAAUGUUUUGAAUUUCAUUAGACCUUCUCAUAUUGUCUGGAAGAUCUGCAUUUUUUACCUCUUAGCAAUCCUUGACGACGAAAUGUUUUAAUUGAAUAUUAAUUAAAAAAACUUAUUUCAAUAUCACUAUUAAAUUGCUGUUGUCUUACAAAUUUUUCUCAAUAUUUUUACUUGAUUUUCUAACGCCGCUGGUAAAAACCAGACGUACAGUAAAGUAAAUAUUUUCAAUAAAAAACACAAGAGUCAAAUCGUUCACAUCUGGUUUGUACAUAAAACAAAUUUAUAACCUCCCAUUUAUUAGGGGGCUUCUAAAAAAUAGGUUUUUAUUCCGGUAAUAAAUGUUUAAUCACAGAUAAUUGAAGCUUAUAUUUAUGGGUUAUCGUUUAGUUCUAUUUGAGACAUGGGACAUCAUAUUGCAGGUAGCUUGGUGCCUUGAUUUUUUAUGAGUUUCAUUAAAUCUGAAGCAUUGUAGAUAUAUACACUACAUCAAAUUAAUUUCAGCACUGAUGUCAUGUUUAAUUAACAUGAAACCAAUAGACUAGAAAAACAAAAUAAAGUAGCCGUUAUUGCUUUGUAGUAUGAGAAAGUACUACUCAAAUUUAUUGUCAGAUAAUUCAUAGUGUUUUAAUUUUCUAUGUUUAAGAUUUCAAAAUUUUUUGGUAGAUUGCUAUAGCUACGUCGUUUGUAUUAAUGCUUGAUUCAAUACCACUUAAGCCUGUUAAUUUCGAGAAAACCCCAUUAACGUUGCAAUAUAAUGAUUAUGAAGAGAAAUGUUAGUUUUUACUACCAUCAAAAUUUAAUCAUGAUAUUUGUCAAUGUAUCCAUGGCGUUAUAUUUUCUUAGGGUAUGUUCUGUUCUAGUACAACAGUCUGCUUUUAGAGAAAAAGCUAACAUCCACAGAUAAACUGAAAAGUAUGAUGUUUAAAGUGAAGUUAGAAGAUGCGUAUUCAUAUAACAUAGUACUUAAUAACAAAUGAUAAUUAAAACACAGCUAAGAGAAAUAUGAAUUAUGAAAUGAGAUCACUGUACACAACAUAAAAUACUUGAGAUCUUGUAAAUACCAAUAUUAUGGAAGACAAUACACUUAAAUUACGUGAAAAUAUUAUUUGAUAGUAAACCUGUAAUAAGAAAUUUUUUAUUAAUCCAUUUUUCCAGAUGGGUUUUAGGGUGACUUUGUAUAUUAGUAGCUUAUUGUUGAUUGUUAGUUGAGAUCUUCGAUCUAUUAAACUAUAAUGAGUUUAAGUCCCAAUUGCUUUCUCUUGGUUAGUAUGUAUGUGCAAAUAAAUUCCAAAGUAUUUUUCAUUCUCUUUUUAAAUUUUGGUAUUUACUUAUUUUCUGAAAAGCUAAAAAGGUGUAUUUCAUUGUACUAGGAAUGUUUUUUUGCCUUAAUAUUUAACAGAGGUACAGCAGAAAUAAUUUCACUUCCUCUUAGAUUUCAAUAUUUUUCUUUUAUCCACGUCUUACAUUGUUUUUUCAGUAAAACUUCCAUUUUUUUUAAUAAAAUUCACAAUGGGUUAGUUUAGAAUCAAUUGAAAUGUAAUUAAUUGUACAUACAGGGUUGGGUAAAAGUAUCUCGUUUAUAGAUACCAAUUUUGAGGAUAUGUUGAAUAAUAACGUUGUUUUUUCAAUGUGUCUUUCGUUUUAUUAAAUCAAAUUCACAAUUCGUUAGUUUAAAACUGAUUCAAAUGUAAUUAAUUAUAUAUACAGAGUGGGGUAGAAGUAUUUCGUUUGUAGACGCCAAUUGUGAAAAUAUGUUAAAUAAUAACGUUGUUUUUUCAGUGUA